UUUAAUUGUAAUUUUAAGUAAAAAUUAGUAUUAGUAAUGUUCUUUAAAGUUAAAGAUUUUGGCGGUAUUUUAUCUUUUCAGAGGAAUCUGUUCUAUAAUUGAUAGUCCACGAUUAAUUAAACUUUAUUUAAAAAUUUGUAUAUCGUCGUAUAAAAUAUUUUUAAAGAAUGUAAUAUUUAGUUUAAAUAAAAAAAUAAAUCAGAUCAAGGUGCAGUUUAUAGUAAAGUAGAAAUGGAUUACAAUAUAAUUUAUAUUUGGAUUAUUUAUUUAAAAUAAAAAUGAAAUUGGAUUUGAAAGUAAUUAUAUAUAUA
This 311-nucleotide ribosomal RNA is filed under the name Chondria nigra. RNAcentral describes it as "partial 12S ribosomal RNA". The record is from RNAcentral. Lineage: Eukaryota; Metazoa; Arthropoda; Insecta; Coleoptera; Endomychidae.